UCCGAAUUGGUGUAGUGGCUAACAUUUGACGCUCUCACUUUCUUCUCGAUUCUCGAGGAGUUUCUGGCCCGUCAAGCCCGGGGUUCGAUUCCCCGAUUCGGAG
Molecule: non-coding RNA, 103 nt
Organism: Microdochium trichocladiopsis
Lineage: Eukaryota; Fungi; Ascomycota; Sordariomycetes; Xylariales; Microdochiaceae
Source: the annotation of a RefSeq genome assembly